Molecule: non-coding RNA, 848 nt
Organism: Prunus mume (Japanese apricot)
Lineage: Eukaryota; Viridiplantae; Streptophyta; Magnoliopsida; Rosales; Rosaceae
Source: RefSeq, a predicted model, not a curated record
UAGCCUUGUGAAAAAUCGAUCUCCUCUGCUGCUUCGUCAUUUCUCUCAAACCCAAAGUCCUUUGCUUCUUCUGUCAAAAUCGAAACCAGCAUCUCUGUUGGAUUCCCAACCCAAAUUCGAAUGCUUUGUAGAUCUCAUAGCAAGGACUCGCUUGGGUCAUCAUCGCCUUUUCCACGCUGCUUCAUACUCACUCUGUCAAAAACCCCCAAAUUUUCUCUUCUCUGUUCAAUAGGGGGAUAGAACACUUACGAGCUGACCUUGCCUAUACGAAAUAUAAAGCAUCGGUUUGGGUUCCUAGUGCAAUGGCUUCGUUACUAGCUGGGGCACGAGCAGAGUUUACAACACAAUUUGUGUUUACAAAUGGGUCUGUUGUUUCUGUUGAUUGGCUCCAUGCGAACUUAAGGAGCCUGAUCUGAAGGUGGAGGAUGCCUCUUGGUACAUGCCUCUGUCUCAAACCUCUGCCAGCACCGUCACUAACGUUCACCUGCAUCCAUGAUGGUCCUCAAUCUCGCAGCAUCAGUGCCUUCCGAUAUCCAUCCGAAGGUACUCAUAUUGGUGCUCGCUGUGUAAGGUCUGCGGAUCCAAGAGAGAUUCAAGGGAAAGGGCAAUAAACACACAAGCUCAAAAGACAAAACAGCAAAAAGCCCUGAGGACCCCCAAUCUGUGCAUCUCAUAGAUUUAUUUGACAACGAUCCUCCAGCUGAUGCAUUCACAUGACUCUUAGAUGUUGGAUUAAGCCCAUCAAAGAAAAUAUUCAUCUGUGUAUCUGAAUCAAUAUUAACAUGUGGACACUUUAUGUACAUCUCUGUAUAUCUUUCCCAUGCUUCAUGAAACUCUUCAUUAGGCUU